GAUGAACGCUGGCGACGUGCCUAAUACAUGCAAGUCGAGCGAACAGACGAGGAGCUUGCUCCUCUGACGUUAGCGGCGGACGGGUGAGUAACACGUGGAUAACCUACCUAUAAGACUGGGAUAACUUCGGGAAACCGGAGCUAAUACCGGAUAACAUGUUGAACCGCAUGGUUCAACAGUGAAAGACGGUCUUGCUGUCACUUAUAGAUGGAUCCGCGCCGCAUUAGCUAGUUGGUAAGGUAACGGCUUACCAAGGCAACGAUGCGUAGCCGACCUGAGAGGGUGAUCGGCCACACUGGAACUGAGACACGGUCCAGACUCCUACGGGAGGCAGCAGUAGGGAAUCUUCCGCAAUGGGCGAAAGCCUGACGGAGCAACGCCGCGUGAGUGAAGAAGGUCUUCGGAUCGUAAAACUCUGUUAUUAGGGAAGAACAAAUGUGUAAGUAACUAUGCACGUCUUGACGGUACCUAAGCAGAAAGCCACGGCUAACUACGU
This 496-nucleotide ribosomal RNA is filed under the name uncultured bacterium. RNAcentral's name for it is "partial 16S ribosomal RNA". It matches the Rfam family "Bacterial small subunit ribosomal RNA", at positions 28 to 506 of the family's 1533-position model. The record is from RNAcentral.